GUGCUCACUUUGGCAGCACAUAUACUAAAAUUGGGAACGAUACAGAGAAGAUUAGCAUGGCCCCUGUGCAAGGAUGCCACACAAAUUCGUGAAGCAUUCCAUAUUUUU
This 108-nucleotide small nuclear RNA is filed under the name Vulpes vulpes (red fox). The record is from RNAcentral. Lineage: Eukaryota; Metazoa; Chordata; Mammalia; Carnivora; Canidae.